CAUUGGUAUAUUUUUGUCGGACUAACCCCUGCAGAAAAACUUUCAAUAUCGAUUUGGGAAGUCCUGAGAUAAACUCACAUCAGAGACGAAGAGAGUGACACAUGAAGUUUAACAAUUUGCACAAGAAGGACAUAGCUCAUUCAUCAUAGAGAGAUGAUCCAUGGAAGGUGCCACAAACACGAUGCACAACCACUAAGAAAGGAAAGCUUCCACAAGGUGAUACUGUACCAUCACUCUUCAAGCAAGGUAACAUCUUAAGGUACUUGACUAUCACUUUUAUAAGCUUCUCCUUAGUUCUGGCAUUCAUAUAAAUAAAAGAGAUAAACAUGUAUGAUUUACAACUCUAGAUUAACCAACCCAACUGAUUCAAUAUGUUUAGUCCUUUAAUCCUUGUUCUUAGUACUACCUCUAUGAUCCCACACUCCUAAUCAUAUGAGCUAAAAUGUUACACAUUCAAUCAUUGAGAGAUAUAAAGAAAAAGACAUAUACAUAGAUAGAUUAUCUUUCCAUAAGGUUGAGCGAUCUGAUCUGACAAAUGUUAUAAGUGCUACACUCAUGAACUUUUCAUCCAUCAACUUUGUCUUGCUCACUAUGCUUAGGGUUAGAGAAGAACAAAUACACUUUAGGUUCUGUUGGUGCUUUCCACCAACAGGACCCAUGCACUUGAUCUCUGCCUUGUCUCUAUGAGCAGGUACACUUUGAGCAAAACACGGAGGAGUUUUAUAACUCUCAGACUCUACCAAGUGAAGGACCUGGAUCUACGAGCACAAACACACUGAGCAGGAUACUGCCAACGCCGCACUUCGAACUGCUGGGCAAACGAAGAACAUGGGUGACACCAUAUCAAGAGGUGCAGACGUCAAGGUCCGCACCUGAAUCAAAUGACACACCUGAAGAAUGAACUUGGUGAGAAGUCUUGUCAAGAAGACUUAAAACAUUGAACCCUCGCCGAAAGGUAAGAUCGGUAGUUAUCCAUAUUUAUCCUUUCUGCAUUCCCUUUUCCCUUUAAUUAUUUACUUUCCUUAAAUAGCUUAUUAGUUAAUCAUGCUAUCUUGAAAAGAAAAUAAAAAUGUUAAAAAUACUAAGCCCCAUGUGAGUAUGCUCGUGGCAUGAAACCCAUAAGUACAUUCACUGUGGUGGCGUAAAAAUAAAAUAAAUAUAUUCCUGUCCUAUAGAAAUGAAAAUAUAAAAAUAAAUUUAUGAUCCUACCAAAGUGAGUAAUAUUUAUUAGAGGAAGCUCAACAUGAUAAAAGGCAAAGAGAUUUUAUGCUAACACUUAAUUAGUUCCACAAGCUUUGUUGUCUAUUUGAGCUCCACAGAAUUUAAGAAUCAAGAAGACUAGCAGACGGAGGACAUUCUAAUCGCUGUCAGAAUGCUGCUGACUUUCAAAUACACCUCUGCCACCUGCUAGCUACAUCAAGAGAAAUUACGUCAAAAUUCAGCUUGGGGGAGAGCACCCCCAUUUAUCUCGCUAAGUAUUUCUACCUAUCUUUAUACUUAUAUUAUAUUAGAAUAUUAAAAUACAUAAACUAUGAAAAACCAAAUAAAGAUUUUGUGCUUAUAUAUAUAUAUAUCUUUUGCUUAGUGUGUUUAAUAAAUAAAGUGGCUAUGCUAAUCUGAAUCUUAAUAAUAAAACUCUAGCAUAGAUAUGAUGAAUAGUUGCUCUGCCUAAUUUGCAAAUUUGAAGUUCUCUCUCAAGUUUAGACAUAACUGUUAUAAUUUAAAGCUUGCUCUAGAUCUAAACUUGUGGGAUGAAAACUUGAUCUGAAAUAUAAGUUGUUAACGGAUAUGAUAUGGGAAGGUUGAGCUGCUGUUUAUCUGUUCCUAGAGAUGCUAGAAUUCUGGAGAAUUUUAUCUUUGAAAAAUCUUUAAAAUAUUGCAUGAUGAGUUCCUCUAUGAUGAGAGUUUAAAUUCCUACCACAACCAUAUAUAUACAUGUUUGCUAGACUUUGAGCCACACAUUUAUUAUUUACUGCUUAUGAGCAUUGAGUGUGGUCAAGCUAUGUAGACCCUUAGGAGCUUAUCAUGUGGUUAAAUCAAGAUUCACUUGCACGUUCACUCAUAUAUGCUACUUCUACUCCGGAAGUACCAUCCACAUAUAUCCAUCCAUGUCCAUCUCCAGAACCACCCAAAAAUAUUCUACUCCUAAUUCGGGAGAGAAUAGCCAAAAAUAUUUCUAUUUUCCCUUGUGAAAUAAAUGCUCAAGUUAUCUUGCUACUACCACUUGCUAUAUUAUCUCAAGAGAUGAGUGCUCUGAAAAAAAAAAGAAAAAAAAUAAUAAACGAGGAAAUAAAAAGGGACAAGUGCCCGGAACCUCGAAAGAAAAAAAAAGAGUGAGACGAAAAUGGACAAGUGUCUGACAGUAGAAUUAGGGGUACAGGAUACCCACCUGAGAGGAAAGAAAAAGAAGAGCAUCUCAUUCUCCUCAUAAAGUUUCAAAAAGCAAGGAAGGUAUGUAUCCCCUCAAAAGAGCAAAAGUAGAAUUAGACUUCCCACCAUUGUUAUCACCAUCAUCACCAUACACCAUUCAUUCGCCACACAUGCACAUCUUGAUUUGGCUUAUUGAUUUGUUUCUUUGGAUCCAUGGUUUGACUAUACAAUAAAUGUCUUGUAAGUAUGUAUACUUUAUCUCCCACCUAUGAGCUCCAGAUAUCAAACCUUAUUAGAGUAGGGUGAGAGAGAAGGCAAUGUCACUAUGCCUUAUACCAUAAAUACCACAUAUCUUGAGAGAAGAUAUAUACCAUCACUGCCUUGGUAAGGAUCCAGAAAUACCACAAAAGAGAGAUUUAGAGAGUCAUACAAGGAAUCUCUAAGUUUUAUUUGAAAAUCUGCAAAAACUCCAGAGCUAUAGCUGAUCAAGAACAAGAGACAUGGCACUUGGCUAAACUGUUCUAUCUUUUAACUACUCAAGACAGAAGUGACGGUUACAAGUCCCAUGGUGAAAGGUAAAGUAAGUAAGUUUUAGUUCUUGACAGUUUACUCUAACUCAGAGAUGAGAUCUUAUUUAAAAGCAUGUGUACCGUCAAAUUUUUAAGAUAUUGCAACAACUUCUGAUCCAUUGCUGAGUCUAUCCUUGCUCAGGGACGAGCAAGAGGUAAGCUUGGGGGAGUUUGUUGACGGUCCUUAAGUAUCAAAUUUAAUUAUCAAAUAAACAAAGAAAAGGAUCCAAAUACAACCAACAUCUCAACUUAGGGUUUUAUCUGAUAGAAUUCUACGAGUUUUGGUGUUUGUCUAUUUCUGCAGGGGGUUAUCACGAAAUACGGAAGAAAGGCCCACACGUCGGGAUUACAUAGAGAUAUCAACGUGCCGCACAAUUAUUUUACAUCUAGAAGACUCCAGAAGCCACGGGAAGGAAGCGGAAGCCGAACGGAGCCAGGACCUGGGCGCCCGCCCUGCUACAGUGGCCAAUCACGUUCAACCUCGCGGAUUAUGCUCCACCGACCUAAAGGGUCAAGAAUAACCGUUCAAUCAAUGUCGGUUUGAUCCGACGGCCCAGGUUCACUUGAGGGGACUAUAUAACCAGACCCCCUGGCCCCUGGAGGAGGCACCCCUUGAUCAUUAUUCAUUAUUCAUAGACAGAGCAAAAGUUAGGGUUUAGAGAUGAGAGCUCUCCUCUCUUCUCUAAACUAGAGUAGAUCUAGAUAGUAGCGAGAUG
Molecule: long non-coding RNA, 3655 nt
Filed under: Sorghum bicolor (sorghum)
Lineage: Eukaryota; Viridiplantae; Streptophyta; Magnoliopsida; Poales; Poaceae
Description: long non-coding RNA (SBIC_LNC018025)
Source: RNAcentral